AAGGGUUUAUGAAUUAUAAUUUUUAUUUUAUUUAUUUUUAGAAUUUUAUUUCUAAGUAAAAAAGCUUAGUUUUUUUUUUGGGACGAAAAGACCCUAUAGAACUUAAUUAAUUUAAUUUAUUAUUUAUUUUUUGUUUAAUAACACUAAGUUAAUAUUUAUAUUUGUUUGAUUGGGGCGAUUAUUAAGAAUAAUAAAACUUUAUUUCUUUUUUUCAUUUAUUUAUGAUUUAUUGAUCCAAUUUUUAUUGAUUAAAAGAUUAAGUUACCUUAGGGAUAACAGCGUAAUUUUAAU
This 291-nucleotide ribosomal RNA is filed under the name Aphrodes hamiltoni. Its description in RNAcentral is "partial 16S ribosomal RNA". The record is from RNAcentral. Lineage: Eukaryota; Metazoa; Arthropoda; Insecta; Hemiptera; Cicadellidae.